UAGGGAAUCUUCGGCAAUGGACGAAAGUCUGACCGAGCAACGCCGCGUGAGUGAAGAAGGUUUUCGGAUCGUAAAACUCUGUUGUUAGAGAAGAACAAGGACGUUAGUAACUGAACGUCCCCUGACGGUAUCUAACCAGAAAGCCACGGCUAACUACGUGCCAGCAGCCGCGGUAAUACGUAGGUGGCAAGCGUUGUCCGGAUUUAUUGGGCGUAAAGCGAGCGCAGGCGGUUUCUUAAGUCUGAUGUGAAAGCCCCCGGCUCAACCGGGGAGGGUCAUUGGAAACUGGGAGACUUGAGUGCAGAAGAGGAGAGUGGAAUUCCAUGUGUGCGGUGAAAUGCGUAGAUAUAUGGAGGAACACCAGUGGCGAAGGCGGCUCUCUGGUCUGUAACUGACGCUGAGGCUCGAAAGCGUGGGGAGCAAACAGG
Molecule: ribosomal RNA, 428 nt
Filed under: Gemmatimonadota bacterium
Lineage: Bacteria; Pseudomonadati; Gemmatimonadota
Description: Gemmatimonadetes bacterium partial 16S ribosomal RNA
Rfam family: Bacterial small subunit ribosomal RNA
Source: RNAcentral